AAUCUUUGGAUCUUGAUCUUAUCCCAAGAUCCAAGUGUUUUGUAUAUCUACGAUAC
Molecule: transfer RNA, 56 nt
Filed under: Veratrum californicum (California false hellebore)
Lineage: Eukaryota; Viridiplantae; Streptophyta; Magnoliopsida; Liliales; Melanthiaceae
Also listed under: 8 other names
Description: partial tRNA-Leu
Source: RNAcentral